This 279-nucleotide ribosomal RNA is filed under the name uncultured bacterium. Its description in RNAcentral is "partial 16S ribosomal RNA". It matches the Rfam family "Bacterial small subunit ribosomal RNA", at positions 506 to 784 of the family's 1533-position model. The record is from RNAcentral.
UGCCAGCAGCCGCGGUAAUACGAAUGGAGCGAGCGUUGUUCGGAAUCACUGGGCGUAAAGCGUGCGUAGGCGGAUAUGCAAGUCAGGAGUGAAAUCCCAGGGCUCAACCCUGGAACUGCUCUUGAAACUGCAUAUCUAGAGUCCCGGAGGGGCCAGCGGAAUUCCGAGUGUAGAGGUGAAAUUCUCAGAUAUUCGGAGGAACACCAGUGGCGUAGGCGGCUGGCUGGACGGGAACUGACGCUCAGGCACGAAAGCAUGGGGAGCAAACAGGAUUAGAUA